UGAAUAAUGUUUUCGUCGUAA
This 21-nucleotide non-coding RNA is filed under the name Caenorhabditis elegans. The record is from RNAcentral. Lineage: Eukaryota; Metazoa; Nematoda; Chromadorea; Rhabditida; Rhabditidae.